UUCCGCAAUGGGCGAAAGCCUGACGUAGCAAUACCGCGUGAGGGAGGAAGGCUCUUGGNUCGUAAACCUCUAUUCUCAGGGAAGAAAAAAAUGACGGUACCUGAGGAACAAGCAUCGGCUAANUCNGUGCUAGCAGCCGCGGUAAUACGGAGGAUGCAAGCGUUAUCCGGAAUGAUUGGGCGUAAAGCGUCCGCAGGUGGCUAUGUAAGUCUGCUGUUAAAGAGUCUAGCUCAACUAGAUAAAAGCAGUGGAAACUACAUGGCUAGAGUGCGUUCGGGGCAGAGGGAAUUCCUGGUGUAGCGGUGAAAUGCGUAGAGAUCAGGAAGAACACCGGUGGCGAAAGCGCUCUGCUAGGCCGCAACUGACACUGAGGGACGAAAGCUAGGGGAGCGAAUGGGAUUAGAUACCCCAGUAGUCCUAGCCGUAAACGAUGGAUACUAGGCGUGGCUUGUAUCGACCCGAGCCGUGCCGUAGCUAACGCGUUAAGUAUCCCGCCUGGGGAGUACGCACGCAAGUGUGAAACUCAAAGGAAUUGACGGGG
This 541-nucleotide ribosomal RNA is filed under the name uncultured Gloeotrichia sp. Its description in RNAcentral is "bacterial SSU rRNA". It matches the Rfam family "Bacterial small subunit ribosomal RNA", at positions 364 to 918 of the family's 1533-position model. The record is from RNAcentral. Lineage: Bacteria; Bacillati; Cyanobacteriota; Cyanophyceae; Nostocales; Gloeotrichiaceae.